GACGAACGCUGGCGGCGUGCUUAACACAUGCAAGUCGAACGGAAAGGCCCUGCUUUUGUGGGGUGCUCGAUUGGCGAACGGGUGAGUAACACGUGAGUAACCUGCCCUUGACUUUGGGAUAACUUCAGGAAACUGGGGCUAAUACCGGAUAGGAGCUCCUGCUGCAUGGUGGGGGUUGGAAAGUUUCGGCGGUUGGGGAUGGACUCGCGGCUUAUCAGCUUGUUGGUGAGGUAGUGGCUUACCAAGGCUUUGACGGGUAGCCGGCCUGAGAGGGUGACCGGCGACAUUGGGACUGAGAUACGGCCCAGACUCCUACGGGAGGCAGCAGUGGGGAAUAUUGCACAAUGGGCGGAAGCCUGAUGCAGCAACGCCGCGUGCGGGAUGACGGCCUUCGGGUUGUAAACCGCUUUCGCCUGUGACGAAGCGUGAGUGACGGUAAUGGGUAAAGAAGCACCGGCUAACUACGUG
RNAcentral lists this ribosomal RNA (468 nucleotides) under uncultured bacterium. RNAcentral describes it as "partial 16S ribosomal RNA". It matches the Rfam family "Bacterial small subunit ribosomal RNA", at positions 28 to 507 of the family's 1533-position model. The record is from RNAcentral.